Molecule: long non-coding RNA, 934 nt
Organism: Artibeus jamaicensis (Jamaican fruit-eating bat)
Lineage: Eukaryota; Metazoa; Chordata; Mammalia; Chiroptera; Phyllostomidae
Exons: 3
Source: RefSeq, a predicted model, not a curated record
CCAGGAGGUCCACACAGGCCUAUGGAGGAGGAUAGCAUGAAGACUGCAUCUUAGAAUUUACCAGGAAGAUUUGCCCUGAGAAUCCCUGGGAGCUUGACCGACCAGGAAUGCACAGGAACAUUACUUUCCUUUGGGCCAUUUUUCCCUGUGAGUGCAUCCCUGGAGAGGGUCUGAGAGAAGAGGAGGGGGAAAUAGUAUGAUUCAAGGCAAACCAUGUGUGGAGCUCUUCAUAUCCUCAAUGUCACUGGGGGAAAUGGGGCUUGACUAUCACAAAGUGGCAGUUCACAAGACAUCAUAACACAGAGGCUUUCCAUAGCACAGGGGCAUGAGAUUAAGGCAAGAGCCUAGUAAUCUUUGAACUGAGUUUAUCCCUGCUAACAACUGGAGAAAAGAUGCUGGUGACCUGAUAUGCAAAGCAGGUAUCCCCUUGUGUUGUGUAGGAAAUCAGAGCUCCAUCUUUUGUGAAAGCUGAGAAAGGCACCUCUUCCUGCUUCCUGGAAGACUGAUGCUGUUGUGGACCACUCUGCCUGGUUUCAGGAAUUGUAAAUCUACCCCCCAUGGCUAAGGAUGAGUGAGACACCUCUGGAAUGCAAGCCAAAGGAUACAAAGCUUAUCUCUGACAGUGAAUGCUGCCUCAGUUUCCUCUCCCUGCCCCCAAAGCAUGGUCAGUGUUGAAGAUGGGUAAGUACUCUCUCAGCAAGGAGCAACCUAAGUUAGACAUGAUCACUUGGGAAGCCAUCAUGGAAAGACUUGGGGGCCUGCAACAAAGAGCGAGCAAUGGACCUUUGCCCCCUGGCUAUGUGACAUAGCCCGAGUCACCAUGUCCUCUGGGAGAAGUGUUUCCUGGCUCUCAUCUACUUAAGCCUGAAUACCUGAUGGGAAGGGUCACAGCUCCUUGCCUUGCCAGAGCAGUAUCUGGGAUAAAUUUGGCAUA